CCAUACCCAAAAGUUUCAUCAAUACUUCUGCAAUGCCCCUUCUAGAAAUAGAAGUAGAACUACAUUAAGUAAAAAAAAAAACAAUUUCAAAUGCAAAAUUUAGGAAGGCAAUGUAUUCACCCUACUGGAAUUUAUGGCAUAUGGUGAAGAUUGAUUAACUGCAUUAUUUUAAUACCGGUAUGUUCAUUGGCAACAACAAACAUGUCAUACCUAUCUACAACAUUUGUUUUGAAAGUAAAAUACUUAUGCAUGCGAACAUUGAAAUUAAAGCAGAUGAAGGAGCUUUUGAAGCUAUGUAAUUCCCUUCAUACAUAGUGGCUCUGCAAAAACAAAAUCGACCUUGGUCCCAUGUAUCAUAUUCUUUCAUUUCAAUCUCCACCUUGAACUUUUGAAACAAGGAAAAAGAAAAUUAGGAAUGAAGCGUAGAAGACAGAGUCCAAAAAUAAACCCCACAUAAUAAAAGUUAUAUGUAACAAAUUGAAUGCAAAAAUCUGAAGCGUUGACAGAAAAGGGAGAGAAAGAGAAAUCUAACCAAGGAAAUGACCAAACAGAUUCGGAGGGUAUGAAAAUAUGAAGGGAAGCAAUAAUGUGUUUAUAAGAUUCAUG
RNAcentral lists this long non-coding RNA (606 nucleotides) under Glycine max (soybean). Its description in RNAcentral is "long non-coding RNA (GMAX_LNC004167)". The record is from RNAcentral. Lineage: Eukaryota; Viridiplantae; Streptophyta; Magnoliopsida; Fabales; Fabaceae.